RNAcentral lists this ribosomal RNA (1372 nucleotides) under uncultured bacterium. RNAcentral's name for it is "bacterial SSU rRNA". It matches the Rfam family "Bacterial small subunit ribosomal RNA", at positions 28 to 1381 of the family's 1533-position model. The record is from RNAcentral.
GAUGAACGCUGGCGGCGUGCCUAAUACAUGCAAGUCGAGCGAACGGACGAGAAGCUUGCUUCUCUGAUGUUAGCGGCGGACGGGUGAGUAACACGUGGAUAACCUACCUAUAAGACUGGGAUAACUUCGGGAAACCGGAGCUAAUACCGGAUAAUAUUUUGAACCGCAUGGUUCAAAAGUGAAAGACGGUCUUGCUGUCACUUAUAGAUGGAUCCGCGCUGCAUUAGCUAGUUGGUAAGGUAACGGCUUACCAAGGCAACGAUGCAUAGCCGACCUGAGAGGGUGAUCGGCCACACUGGAACUGAGACACGGUCCAGACUCCUACGGGAGGCAGCAGUAGGGAAUCUUCCGCAAUGGGCGAAAGCCUGACGGAGCAACGCCGCGUGAGUGAUGAAGGUCUUCGGAUCGUAAAACUCUGUUAUUAGGGAAGAACAUAUGUGUAAGUAACUGUGCACAUCUUGACGGUACCUAAUCAGAAAGCCACGGCUAACUACGUGCCAGCAGCCGCGGUAAUACGUAGGUGGCAAGCGUUAUCCGGAAUUAUUGGGCGUAAAGCGCGCGUAGGCGGUUUUUUAAGUCUGAUGUGAAAGCCCACGGCUCAACCGUGGAGGGUCAUUGGAAACUGGAAAACUUGAGUGCAGAAGAGGAAAGUGGAAUUCCAUGUGUAGCGGUGAAAUGCGCAGAGAUAUGGAGGAACACCAGUGGCGAAGGCGACUUUCUGGUCUGUAACUGACGCUGAUGUGCGAAAGCGUGGGGAUCAAACAGGAUUAGAUACCCUGGUAGUCCACGCCGUAAACGAUGAGUGCUAAGUGUUAGGGGGUUUCCGCCCCUUAGUGCUGCAGCUAACGCAUUAAGCACUCCGCCUGGGGAGUACGACCGCAAGGUUGAGACUCAAAGGAAUUGACGGGGACCCGCACAAGCGGUGGAGCAUGUGGUUUAAUUCGAAGCAACGCGAAGAACCUUACCAAAUCUUGACAUCCUUUGACAACUCUAGAGAUAGAGCCUUCCCCUUCGGGGGACAAAGUGACAGGUGGUGCAUGGUUGUCGUCAGCUCGUGUCGUGAGAUGUUGGGUUAAGUCCCGCAACGAGCGCAACCCUUAAGCUUAGUUGCCAUCAUUAAGUUGGGCACUCUAAGUUGACUGCCGGUGACAAACCGGAGGAAGGUGGGGAUGACGUCAAAUCAUCAUGCCCCUUAUGAUUUGGGCUACACACGUGCUACAAUGGACAAUACAAAGGGCAGCGAAACCGCGAGGUCAAGCAAAUCCCAUAAAGUUGUUCUCAGUUCGGAUUGCAGUCUGCAACUCGACUACAUGAAGCUGGAAUCGCUAGUAAUCGUAGAUCAGCAUGCUACGGUGAAUACGUUCCCGGGUCU